UACGAAGGGGGCUAGCGUUGCUCGGAAUGACUGGGCGUAAAGGGCGCGUAGGCGGAUGGCACAGUCAGAUGUGAAAUUCCCGGGCUUAACCUGGGGGCUGCAUUUGAUACGUGUUGUCUUGAGUUCGGAAGAGGGUCGUGGAAUUCCCAGUGUAGAGGUGAAAUUCGUAGAUAUUGGGAAGAACACCGGUGGCGAAGGCGGUUGCCUGGAGCUUUGCUGACGCUGAGGCGCGAAAGCGUGGGGAGCGAUCCGG
RNAcentral lists this ribosomal RNA (253 nucleotides) under uncultured bacterium. Its description in RNAcentral is "partial 16S ribosomal RNA". It matches the Rfam family "Bacterial small subunit ribosomal RNA", at positions 524 to 776 of the family's 1533-position model. The record is from RNAcentral.